This 514-nucleotide ribosomal RNA is filed under the name uncultured bacterium. Its description in RNAcentral is "partial 16S ribosomal RNA". It matches the Rfam family "Bacterial small subunit ribosomal RNA", at positions 28 to 523 of the family's 1533-position model. The record is from RNAcentral.
GACGAACGCUGGCGGCGUGCCUAACACAUGCAAGUCGAACGGAGAAUUAGCAAUAAUUCUUAGUGGCGAACGGGUGAGUAACGCGUAGACAACCUACCCUUUAGAUGGGGACAACACCGCAAAAGUGGUGCUAAUACCGAAUAUUGGUUGAGAAGCGCAUGCUUUUCAAACUAAAGAUGGCCUCUAUUUAUAAGCUAUCGCUAAAGAAUGGGUCUGCGUCUGAUUAGCUAGUUGGUGAGAUAAAAGCUCACCAAGGCAACGAUCAGUAGCCGGUCGGAGAGGAUGAACGGCCACACUGGGACUGAGACACGGCCCAGACUCCUACGGGAGGCAGCAGUGGGGAAUCUUCCGCAAUGGACGAAAGUCUGACGGAGCGACGCCGCGUGAGUGAUGAAGGUUUUCGGAUCGUAAAACUCUGUUGUUAAGGACGAAUGUAUAGAUUGUGAAUAAUGGUUUAUAAUGACGGUACUUAACGAGGAAGCCACGGCUAACUACGUGCCAGCAGCCGCCGUAA